This 403-nucleotide ribosomal RNA is filed under the name uncultured bacterium. RNAcentral's name for it is "partial 16S ribosomal RNA". It matches the Rfam family "Bacterial small subunit ribosomal RNA", at positions 30 to 526 of the family's 1533-position model. The record is from RNAcentral.
AUUGAACGCUGCGGCAGGCUUAACACAUGCAAGUCGAGCGAGCGGCGGACGGGUGAGUAAUGCUUAGGAAUCUGCCUACUAGUGGGGGACAACACCUCGAAAGGGAUGCUAAUACCGCAUACUAAUAUAUGAGCCUAGUCGGAUUAGCUAGUUGGUGGGGUAAAGGCCUACCAAGCCGACGAUCUGUAGCGGGUCUGAGAGGAUGAUCCGCCACACUGGGACUGAGACACGGCGCAGACUCCGACGGGAGGCAGCAGUAGGGAAUAUGGGCAAUGGGGGGAACCCUGAUGCAGCCAUACCGCGUGUGUGAGGAAGGCCUUCGGGUUGUAAAGCACUUUCAGCGGGGAGGCGUUACCCGCAGAAGAAGCACCGGCUAACUCCGUGCCAGCAGCCGCGGUAAUUC